GCCAGGCCUGGUGGCGCAUACCUGUAAUCCCUGUGGCUCAGGAGGCUGAGGCAGGAGGAUUACAAGUUUGAGACCAACCCUAGCAACUUAACAAGGCCCUAAGGACUUAGUAAGACCCUGUCUCAA
This 126-nucleotide small RNA is filed under the name Marmota monax (woodchuck). The record is from RNAcentral. Lineage: Eukaryota; Metazoa; Chordata; Mammalia; Rodentia; Sciuridae.